This is a long non-coding RNA of Solenopsis invicta (red fire ant), 802 nucleotides long. RefSeq lists it as uncharacterized. The transcript is spliced from 3 exons. The record is from RefSeq and is a predicted model, not a curated record. NCBI's taxonomy places the organism in Eukaryota, Metazoa, Arthropoda, Insecta, Hymenoptera, Formicidae.
CGCGCGCGUGACAUUAUUCCGUGUGCGUGUACAUUCGUUCUUACGCAUUCUGUUCGUGCUUCUCUAUCUAUCUGCGCGCUCUACUUUGUGAUUUACGGAACCGUCUGAAUCUCGAUGAUAAUCUCGUGACGUAAAAUAGCCAGCUUAUUAGCCGCAACUGAUUCUCUAAUCUCAGUACAACUACAUUCAUUCUAUUUUAAGAAUGAAUUUUAGACCUCAGAAAACGAAGACGAACUAUCAGCAUUGAGAAAAUAGAGUGAUGUGAAAAUUUAUCGAUUGUUCAAGCGCCCACAUGUCAGGUUUAAUCGGGCGUGUGUUACACAUACGAAGGGUGUAACAUACGCACGUAUUGUGACGCACGCACCCAUAUUCGAGAAUGCAAUAUUGCAGUCGUGUCACUAUCGGCAAUCAGCGGUUGGCUUCUUCACGAGUGAAUAGCCAUGCCGGAACUUUUGUCCAAGGGCUACUUUCAAAGCAAUAAAUAAGACGGAAGGGGCGAGGAGAAAUGAGGAGGUGGAACGUGCGUCAGCCUAUGCGUCGAUCAAAGUACACCCUUAUACAUUUAUCUAUUUCUUGCUUCUCCUUUGUGUUCCAUUAUGUUCUUAUGCUGAAGUAUCAAGAUGUUUGAGAAAGACGUUGCUUUACUCACUAAUUGUGAAAGGUAUAGUUUUUUUAUCCUCUUUUAGUUGGAAUGAGUGUAACUUGUAACAUAAAUCUAUAAUCUUCAUAUAUGUGUAUUGUUUUCACUUAUUAUAUCAAAUAAUUAAAAAUAAAAUAUUAUUGCGCCCGCAGUAAUACGUAA